RNAcentral lists this ribosomal RNA (464 nucleotides) under uncultured bacterium. RNAcentral describes it as "partial 16S ribosomal RNA". It matches the Rfam family "Bacterial small subunit ribosomal RNA", at positions 28 to 507 of the family's 1533-position model. The record is from RNAcentral.
GACGAACGCUGGCGGCGUGCUUAACACAUGCAAGUCGAACGGAAGGCCCUGCUUGCAGGGUACUCGAGUGGCGAACGGGUGAGUAACACGUGGGUGAUCUGCCCUGCACUUCGGGAUAAGCCUGGGAAACUGGGUCUAAUACCGGAUAGGAGCCAUUUUUAGUGUGAUGGUUGGAAAGUUUUUUCGGUGUAGGAUGAGCUCGCGGCCUAUCAGCUUGUUGGUGGGGUAAUGGCCUACCAAGGCGGCGACGGGUAGCCGGCCUGAGAGGGUGGACGGCCACAUUGGGACUGAGAUACGGCCCAGACUCCUACGGGAGGCAGCAGUGGGGAAUAUUGCACAAUGGGCGCAAGCCUGAUGCAGCGACGCCGCGUGGGGGAUGACGGCCUUCGGGUUGUAAACUCCUUUCGCUAGGGACGAAGCUUUUUGUGACGGUACCUAGAGAAGAAGCACCGGCUAACUACGUG